This is a long non-coding RNA of Lutra lutra (Eurasian river otter), 1077 nucleotides long. RefSeq lists it as uncharacterized. The record is from RefSeq and is a predicted model, not a curated record. Lineage: Eukaryota; Metazoa; Chordata; Mammalia; Carnivora; Mustelidae. The transcript is spliced from 2 exons.
AGAAAUAAGUAAAACAGGUUGGAUUUGAUAACUGGUUGAAUAGAAAAAAUGUGUAAUAGAGGAUUCCUAGGUUUCUGAGUCAGGUACCACUAAUAACCAUAAAAAAUACAUGAAUAAGAAUAGGUGUGAGUAGAGAACUGUGCUAAGUUUGGAUGGGUGGCUCUAACAACCAGCUUUUUCUAAGCUUUGUAGGCUCAUCCUACAUUUGCCUGCUUAUAGAAUUUCUCUGGGCAUUAGGUAGAACAGCUGCUUGAUAAGUGUUUUGCAGAAUGAUUAAGUCAAUCACAAUACAGGAUAUAUUCUCAAUCCAAGUCACUCAGAUUUUGUAGAUCUGAAAAGGUUUAGGAAUGUUAAGCACCAGAUCCAAGAGUAUCAAGGUAGUAAGGAAAUGAUACAAGUAGAGAUUUAAAUCUAAUUCCAAGUGACAUCAAAGACCUUUUUUCUCAGGUGACUACCUUCCUUAAAAUAUGUGAGGUGCUAUCAUGACCUACAGGAUAAAGUCACAGGACAAAGUCACAUUCUUUAGGCCUGCAUGGAAAAAAAAGAUACAUAAUAGCCUGCAUUAUAACCAGGCUCCAUUCCAAAUGUUCUCUGUGUUAGUUUCAAACCUUCUACAUUAACAAGAUCAGAGGAUACGACCCCAGGCAUCCCCCACAAAUGUUUCAUAAAACUUAUUAUCAAGGUAAAAACAUAAUAGAAACAUUAUUAUUAGAAACAUUAUUAUUAGUCUAUUUGUAAAUAUAUAAAGCUGUAACUUAUCAAGGAAAAACAAUUCAAGGUUUUAGCAAUGAGUUUUUCAAUCCUUCAACAAUUAUCAAUUGUUUAAAAAAAAAACACUGUUAACAAGCAGUUAAAAGAAUCUCAUGAUUUUUGGAGCUUAAAAUUUAAAAAGUAAACAUUAUUAAGCUGAAGCUGUUUUGUCAUUGACCAGGAAUGGUCAUCAAAGUCUAUGUUAGGCCACAAAAAUAUGAGCUAGUACCAAGAGGAAGUUACUUACAACUCAAUCUCAUCAGUUUUCUUAAAUAGCCCUCAAAUCAUAGCACAGUUCUUUGCCAGAGAGAAUCAGAGGUCAGUACC